Long non-coding RNA from Myotis myotis, 502 nucleotides. RefSeq lists it as uncharacterized. The record is from RefSeq and is a predicted model, not a curated record. The transcript is spliced from 4 exons. Lineage: Eukaryota; Metazoa; Chordata; Mammalia; Chiroptera; Vespertilionidae.
GGGGACUGGAUUGCAGGUUUAUUUCCAAAGAGGAUUUGAUUUUGCUUUUCUGAUGAGUACCAGGGAUAGUGCAAGAGCAUUCUGGUUAAACCAUUGACCACGAGACAACUUCUUAUAGGAAGAGACACUGGAGUGCUCUCUUUCUCUCCCAUUCCACCUUAUGAGGGCAAAGUAAGAAGGUGCCCAUCUGCAAACUUGGAAGAGAGUCCUCACCGGAAACUGACCCUGCCAGACCUUGAUCUUGAACAACCUCCAGAGCUAAGACCGGGGUGGAGGAAGAUAACACUUUGAUCUGCUUUGGCUGCAGUGUGGAUAUUGCUCAGCUCUCUAAUUUGGUGGUUAUAAAGAAGGGAGAACAAUGGAAGGCAGUGGGCUAGUUCCAGUGUCUCUAAUCUAGUGAAAGGAGCAUCUGAUUUCAGAAUCUUUUGGAGAAGGACUGAUGAGAGUAAAAUUGCCUGUGAUUCUCACUACUGAAUAACUAGUAUCUACGAGCCUAAAAGGU